UACGUAGGGGGCUAGCGUUAUCCGGAAUUACUGGGCGUAAAGGGUGCGUAGGUGGUUUCUUAAGUCAGAGGUGAAAGGCUACGGCUCAACCGUAGUAAGCCUUUGAAACUGGGAAACUUGAGUGCAGGAUAGGAGAGUGGAAUUCCUAGUGUAGCGGUGAAAUGCGUAGAUAUUAGGAGGAACACCAGUUGCGAAGGCGGCUCUCUGGACUGUAACUGACACUGAGGCACGAAAGCGUGGGGAGCAAACAGGAUUAGAUACCCGUGUAGUCCCUGAGCGGG
This 281-nucleotide ribosomal RNA is filed under the name uncultured prokaryote. RNAcentral's name for it is "partial 16S ribosomal RNA". It matches the Rfam family "Bacterial small subunit ribosomal RNA", at positions 524 to 803 of the family's 1533-position model. The record is from RNAcentral.